RNAcentral lists this ribosomal RNA (377 nucleotides) under uncultured bacterium. Its description in RNAcentral is "bacterial SSU rRNA". It matches the Rfam family "Bacterial small subunit ribosomal RNA", at positions 523 to 898 of the family's 1533-position model. The record is from RNAcentral.
AUACGUAGGAUGCGAGCGUUGUCCGGAUUUAUCGGGCGUAAAGAGCGCGCAGGCGGUUAGGAAAGUUGGAUGUGAAAGACCCUGGCUUAACUAGGGGAGGUCAUUCAAAACUAUCUAGCUUGAGGGCAGCAGAGGAAAGUGGAAUUCCCGGUGUAGUGGUGAUAUGCGUAGAUAUCGGGAGGAACACCAGUGGCGAAGGCGGCUUUCUGGGCUGUCACUGACGCUGAGGCGCGAAAGCGUGGGUAGCGAACCGAAUUAGAUACUCGGGUAGUCCACGCCGUAAACGAUGGACACUAGGUGUAGGGGGUAUCGACCCCCCCUGUGCCGAAGCUAACGCAUUAAGUGUCCCGCCUGGGGAGUACGGCCGCAAGGCUAAA